RNAcentral lists this long non-coding RNA (14835 nucleotides) under Ananas comosus (pineapple). RNAcentral's name for it is "long non-coding RNA (ACOM_LNC008326)". The record is from RNAcentral. Lineage: Eukaryota; Viridiplantae; Streptophyta; Magnoliopsida; Poales; Bromeliaceae.
AGAGGAGAUAAGAGAAACGAUAAGGUUUGAAUUAUUAAAAAAAAUUUAAUGCUUUUUUUUAUAGAGAGAGAGAGAGAGAGAGAGAGAGAAAGAUAGUAUGCUAUCUGUUUUAUUUUUUUUUUAGAGAUAAAUUUAGCUGAAAAUAUGAAGCAACUAAGCUUUGCACUUGAAACUUCAGAUAACAAUCAUCAAAUUUUUUGUCACUUGCGAUAGAAAUUGUCGGUAAUUUUAAUGCUUUUUUAUUCAACUAUCUGAACUACAGUUUAUGAUACUAUUAAUUGUACUAUACUAUUACUUGAACUUUAAAAAUAAAUUUAGCUGAAAAUAUGAAGCAACUAAGCUUUGCACUUGAAACUUCAGAUAACAAUCAUCCAAUUUUUUGUCACUUGCGAUAGAAAUUGUCGGUAAUUUUAAUGCUUUUUUAUUCAACUAUCUGAACUACAGUUUAUGAUACUAUUAAUUGUACUAUACUAUUACUUGAACUUUAAAAAUAAUCCGAACUAGAAUAAUAAAAAUAUUCAAUAAUUCCCGAUGAAGAAAAUUGAACUUGAGGGGCGUCUACAUUAGAGAGGAUUUGAUAUAUGUUUACCGUUUUUGUCCAAACUUUUUUAUUGGCCCCAAACUUAUAGUAAUUUACAAACCUUUUAAAUUUAUUGAACUCAGAGGUGGUGGGAGUUGCAAAUUUAGAUAUUUAUUGGAUGCACUCUUGUGCGUAAAUAACAGAAAUAAAAUAAAAUUAUUUAAGAAUUUAUUAGGGACUAGAAUUGCCGAACUUGAACGGUCGAGGACCAAUUUGAAAUUGCCUAAAGUUUGGGGGCGGUGCAAUUUGUUUACCCAUUGUCGAAAUCCAAAUGUUUUGGGUGGUAAAAGUGAAGCGUUCUCAAAGUUCAGGGACUGGUAGUGCAAUUUGCCCGCAUCACGGGUACAAAUUAGUAGACCUUAGCGGGCCCCACAACGGCCAGGUGAGCCAAUAGGAGAGCAGGAGAGAGACCAACGUCAAAAGUGUGGGCCCCACGUUGAUGUAACGUAUUCACGUAUGCGCGCAUGGAUCCACGGAUGGGCCCCCACGUACGUACAAGCUGUCCCCCCUACCUACGUCCGCACGAAAACCUCAUUAUGCGGGGGGCGAUCAAGAUCGGUGAUCCGAUUCCCAAGGGAUGCGACGAUCGUGGCCGUUGGAUUGUGGAUGAGGUACGUAAUCAUUUUGUGUCGUGCGCCUUUCACGGUGCCGUGAUUGUGAUCGUCCUUGAAACAACACUACUACGUAUCUUUUGAGACGUUGGAUCAUUCCGGAAAAUAGUUAAUCGCAGAUAAUUAGUAAAAAAAAAAAAAAAAUUAAUGUAAUUGAAUUUCUUAUAAAUUUUUGUCAUCGUGAAAAAUACAGAUCGAAGAUAGCACUCUUAUCCAAACAGCAAAAUACAACGCCCAAACUAUUAUUAUUAGAAGAUGAUAGAUUACCACAAAUGCAAAAGGUCAAUCAAUGAUUAGUGUUAAAGAAGAUCACAAAAGUAUUGGACAACAAAGGAUUUACGAAAGUGAGAUUAGUUAGAUGAUUAUCAGGUGGCGGAUGAGGUGUUUGGUGGGAAGAAGAUCUGCUUUAAUUGGACUGUUGUUUUGUUAGAAAAAAAAAAAAUUUAAAAUUUCUACAAACACUUUGUUAUGCUGCAAAAAUUUUUUUUUUUUUUUGAAAGAAAGGUAGCAUGCUAUCCGUUUCGUUUAUUUUAUUAAGAAAUAAACUUAGCUGAAAAUGUGAAUCAACUAGGAUUUGAACAUGGGUCUCGAAUUCCAACCCCAAACCUUUUUGUCACUUGCGCUAGGGACGAUCGGUAUUAUGCUGCAAAAGUUAGAAUAUAAAUUUUAUAAUUAUAACUAAAAGUAAAAAUAUUAUCAUAUAGACACUUAAAUAUUUUAGAAAUAAUAAUUGGGAGAUUAAAAAGUAAUAAUUUGGCAUGAUAGGUAAUCAAAGCUUAAUCUCAUCAAAGCAAAGGACGAGGCUAAGAUUGAAAUAUUUGGCACAUUCAAACAUGUACUUGAUAAAAUUUUAAGUGCCAAAAUGAAACACUCAAACGUUAGUUACAAACAAAACAAGUUCGUUAGGAGCUCACGGGUGUAAAAUUCCGUUAACCGGUAUUUUAGCAACGGGGUUUGGGACACGACCGUGAGACCCGUUCCCACCCCCCCUCUCCUCACCUCUAACUCCCCAACGAGAGCCCUACGUCGCCCUCUCUCUCUCUCUCUCUCUCUCUCUCUCUCUCUGACGCGCACUCUGAAAAAGGAAACCCUAGAAGAAGAAGAGGACGACGAGGAAGAGAAGGGGCGAAGCGAAGCCCCAGAGGGGGAGGGAGACGAGGAAGGAGACGAAGAAGCCCCUCGAGAUCCGAUCCUUUUUUUUUCUUUUUUUUUUUUGGUUUUGCUUUCGCUCUCUCUCAAUAUGCUUUAAUAUGCUUUCCCUCUGACAUCCGUCGAUUCUUCUCGUGCUUUUAUGCUUCCUUUUGUCGCUAAUGGCCCUUCUUUUCCCCGCCGCAUUUUUUUCGAAUUUUUUAUGGUGAAAAGGAGCUCGAUUUGUGUGGUUGCUUCUCGAUUCGGCCAUCCGGGGGGAAUUGAGGGGGUUUAGGAUUCGAAAAGGCGAAUUUUUGGGUGGAUUUGGGGUGAGUUGUGGUGGAAUUUUGGGGAUCGGAUGCUGGGGAUGGACGGAGGGAGGGACCUGCGGCGGAGCGUGACGCUCUCGGACCAGCUCGCCGCCGGGUACUCGUCCUCCUCCUCGUCCAAUAACCUCCGGGACCUCCUCAAGGUCCGCGACGACGACGACAACAACGAGAUCCGCCACCUCGGCCGCCGCGCCUCCGUCGCCGGCGACGGCUCCACCCUCGCCUCCGCCAUCGCCGCCGAGAAGGCCGGCGUCUCCGACGGCGGCGCCGCCGGGGGCCGGACCCUCCUCGAUAUCAUCCGGGAGGAGCAGGGCGGCGCUUCCCCCGCCGAUGCCGACGCCGUCGAAGGCGACGCCGGCGCCGGCGCCGGUGCCGGUGCCGGGAAUGGGAUCAACUGGAGGUCGUUCAAGGACAGGCUCCGCAUCGGCCGCACCGGCGCCGCCGCGUUCGCGUCCUCCGCCACCGCCGCGCCGAUCUCCGACCCCGAGCUCGUCCCGUCCCUCCGCGCGAACCCUAACCCUAGCCCCGGCCCUGGCCUCGGCUUCCCCCGCUCCCUCUCCAUCCGCCCCUUCUCCGCCGCCGCGCAGGAGCCCUCGGCCCCGGGCGGAGAAGAGCCCGACGCCGACUCACCAGUCGGGGCUCCCGCCAACCCUAGCUCCACCGCCCUCUUCCGCUCCUUCUCCAUCCGCCGCCCCCGGUGGCGGCGGAGGAGGAGGAGCAGCCGGUGAGGGUGUCUCUGAUGGCGUUGCUGGAGCAAACGGACCGGCAAUGGGCCGGCGGAGACGGGGCGGAGGGGGAGUCCCCUGUGACGGCAACAGCGUUGGCGGCGGCGGCAGAGGGGGAAGAGGAGGCGGAGGAGGAGGACGGAGGGGACGAUGGGGAUGCGAAGGGGGGUAUGUACCACGUGUGCUGCGUGUGCAUGGUGCGGCACAAGGGGGCCGCUUUCAUCCCCUGCGGCCACACCUUCUGCCGCCUCUGCUCCCGCGAGCUCUGGGUCAGCCGCGGUAACUGCCCCCUCUGCAACGGAUUCAUCCUCGAGAUCCUCGACAUCUUCUAGAGCCCCUGCCACCGCUGCCGCCACCAAUACCGCUCGCUGCCCCCGCCGCCGCCGCCGCCACUGCCACUACCACUACUUUUAUUAUGGUAAAUUCUCCUCUUAUAUGAAUACUUGAUUUUUAGAUGAUGUUACUCAUUUGAGAUAGUGGAGUAGUGCUGUGGAUGGGGUAAUUCUCAAAUUGUCAUCUCAUUGUUGUUACUGUCAUUGUUUGGUGAGUUGGGCUCGGCUACUCUCGAUAGUAUUUGAGGACAAAUAUUUUUAUUUUUCGACUUACAUCCGUCGGAUGCAUAUUAUGAUUCACUGCCAAAUUGGUUACAGGUCUAUUACUUGUUAUAUGCAUGAUGAUUCUCUAGAAAACGAUGAUUCCCAUAAAUGAAUAAAACACCAUUCUCGAGUAACAAAUCCUUUCAGCAAAAAAAAAUGUUGAUUCACUUGUUAUCUGAGCAGAAUGUUUUGGAAUUAAGAUUUUCAUAUUCCUAGUCUCGUUUCGUAUCGCCAACUCAUGAAUCAGAAUGCACAACUGAUGAAUAAAAAGUCGAGAAUAUUUACCCUCUAAUGCUCUCUACGGUAGCCAAUUCCAACUCUUUAUUUGGUUGUCUAAAUUGUCCCGGUCUUUGGGUGUCUGGUCAAGUGGUACCUCAAAGGAGGGGGGAUAAUGUCAUAUUGUCAUGACAAUGAUCAUAAUAAUCAUAGUAAUUGUAAUAUUUCUCUUAAAUGAUGAUGGACAUUAAAUUUCUUUCUAAUUUUUCGUCUUCUAAGCUUUGCAAGGCAUAGUUCGUAGCGGUUGGCUUAUUUAGGUGUUAGAUUUCUUUUGUUUUAGUUGUCGAUUCAUAUAUUAAACCUAGAAUAUAGUUGUGAUUUCUUUUUUUGAGAUGUUCUCGUGUCCCUUUCCGAGUAAAUUUUUGUUUUUUUAUCCAAAAACUAUCCGACUGUUUCUACAAUAAAAUGAAGUCACUUUAAUUUUCCCUUAGCUUAUACAAUCCUAGGUGUUUUAUUGCCGACAUAGUUGGAUUAUUAAGGACAACCCAGUUUCAGUUGAUUGGAAUUGCAGGUUUUGGAAUAACCUAGAAUAAGUAACUUGACCAGAGCAAUUGUUUUCAUGUCUCUUCACCGAUAGAGUUUUUAUGUCCUUUUCUUUUCUUAAAAAGUUGUUCAUGCAAUUUGAGCCAAGCAAAACUGAAUUAUUGUCCUAGCAUCCUCUCUCUAUAGAUUGUUUCAGAACACCAGAGGAUUUUUUGUAAUUUUUUGUUCUCUUUACUUUAUGGGAGAUAAUAAUAUGAGGGAUUUUAUUGCCUUGUUAUUAUCCCCCACCCAAAUAGUGCCUUAAAAACUACAUAUCUUUUUCUUUUCUUUCUUUUUUUUUCCCACCUUACAGAUUUGUAAAAUUUUUAAUGGCUUACUACAAAAUAUAUGCGAUAUUUCGAUUUGCGUUGUGUCAUUUUAACCCCUGCUCUAUGGUCUAGGUAGUAUAAACAAGCUUUUCUCCACUGUCGCUUCAAAUGAGAAUCUAUGUUUUUCACGUGCUUCCUUGGGACCUUUUUCACCUCCCAAUCAAAUGGUUUGCUUGAAUCCAAUUCUCUUUUCCCUCACUCUUCUUUUUGACCCAUCAGAUUUGGUGAGUUGGAGGUUUCCUUAGUCAUAUAUUGUAUUAGUGAAUCAUACUAAUCUUUCAAUUACACUAAUCUCACCGAUCAAUUCGGUUUUACUGCAAUAGAAGUUUUGUACUAUUGAUUACUAUUUUGCUAAAAGCAGGAAAAAUGGAGUAAAACAGGCCCCAACCCAAUCCUCUCUCUCAUCUUAGACAUGUAAAUAUAAAUAUACAUAUCCCCACAAAAUUGCUUCUUCAGCAUCAUGCCAAAAAGAGCUCCAAAUUCUCUAUUUGCUUCUCCCCAUUAGUGAAGUGCUGUUCCCAAGAUAUUUCACAUAAGAUAAUGGCUUUGUGGGGACUGGAUGGGGAGGAGAAGUUGCUUCUGUUUUGUCCAGAGUGAAAGGAUGCAUGUGAUGCUGUUCCCAAAUAAAAGGAAAAAAAAAUAUGCACUGGUUUGGUUGUUGGUCUACUACUCGACUCUCUCAUCAAAGCUUUAUCCCUUUUCAUUUUAUCAUAUCAGCUUUCGUUAACAGUUGGGAUUGUGAUAUCUUUGGAUUCUGCUCAUCUUCUUAUUGUGGCUCCCACUUCACUCCUAAUUAAUUUCUAGCUUGACCCAGCUCAUCAUUUCUCCCCUCUUAGCCGGCCUUGUCUAAAUACAAUAAUAAUAAUAAAACAAUAGGGUUAUUUCAAUUUUUAGAAUGUUUGUUACUGAUCUCAAUCAUGUUUUGUUCGUCAAAAUGCUCUCAGUAAUGUUUGGUGCUGUUGCGGCAAAUAUGUGGUCUGAUGUUGAUCUGACAAUUUUUUGUCGAAAUUAUUGAGCAUUUGACAGCAGGGAUAUGACAGAUGAUUAAUGAGUGUCUAAGAGAAUUGCAAAAGUUUGUGAAAGUUGGGGACCGAUGACGCAAUUAAGCGAAAAUAAUAUGUAAUGAUCAAAGAUUAAGAAAACUCUGGAGGAGGUGGGGGACCAAACAGAGAGAGGGUUAAACUUUGUUAUCAAAGGGAGCAAUCUUAGCAUAUACCAAUUAAAUCUUCUGACAGAUGUUUAGAGAGAGAGAUAGAGAGAUGGGGAUCAAGUAACCAAAACUUUUUAAGAAAAAAAAAAAAUGUAUAUAGAGGGAAGGGAGAGUGAGACCUAAACAGGGUUAGGCUUAAAUUAACAAGUAAUAUGAUUCCAUAUAACAGUACCUUUUCCAAUUUUCCAUUUUUUUUUUUCAAUCCCAAGCUCAGAGCGUGGCCCAACGGAGCAGCAACCAUAACCUUAUCCCAUUACUGUGAACUGACCUUUUCUGAUUCUUUUCUAUUUUUUCUCGAUCGUAAUCUAGUAACCGUGCUCGAUUUGUAUGUACGCGAUAACGCGAAAGAGAGGGUGUGAGAGCCGCGGCCACAUGGGAGUGGGGGACCAAAUCACAGUAUAGGUUUAAACCAAUCUGGGUCGUGACGGAAUGGACGGUGGAUGAUUCGGCGGUCCACGACUGACCUGGUGAACCAGCUGGGAGCAAUAAUUUCUCCCCCCCUCACCGAACACAUGGUUAGGUUUCAGUGACUCUGCAGAGGCAUAAAAGCACUGCAACCGAGCAAGUACCAACCCCAACCGUACCAUUGAUUGUGCCCAUCACAAAAUCAGUAAGGGGUAGAACUAGAACAGAAAAAGCUGUUCUUAACUAUCUUUCAUGGAAGUGAUCAUGCAUGAUGCAUGCCCAGUUAAUGCAGCCAAGAUGGUUCUACUGAGGAGAUUAGAGCAGUGAACUUCUUCAAAUUCUCACAACUGCUAUCGAUAAAUCGACAGAUUUCGCUAAAAACAUAUGCUGUUACUUCCGAAUUAGGGUACUCAAAAGUUAAUCCUCAGCUAUAGUUUCUUUCCUCAAGUAACAGAGUAAUCUGCUAGGCCGCAAAAUAUUCUGUCGAGACCGUUAAAGAUAUUAUCAAUAGAACGAAAAAUGUUGUAAAGUUAGAUAGUUGAAUCAAAAUUUUUAAUGUUCACUCAAAAUGACCGGACCGGGCCGAGUCAGGUUGGAUGAAAAGAGCGAAUCCUGGGUCGGGCCGGAUCAACAAAAGGAAGAGAACAGACCCUAAGAACACUUUUUUUAGAGAAAAGUAGCAUUCUAUCCGCUUCGCUUAUUUUUUUAAAAAAAUAAAUUUAGUAUUUUUAGUUUUAAAAAAAUAAAUUUAGCAGAAAAUGUAAAACAACUAGGUUUUGAGUUUGAAAUAUCAGAUUUUAAUUACUAAACACUUUGCCACUUGCGAGAGGACGGUUGGUGGCGCAAAGAAAACUUACUGUCUUACUUUAUCUAAGUUAAUAGAAAUAAGAUAAGCCUAUAACAACUGGUCCAGUGAGAAGGACAAUCAGAGAGUGGAGCUGAAAGACAUCCUGCAUUGGGGUUUGGUUAGCAGCUUGAAAAUUAGCAACAAAAGGACAGAAAAAGUAAACAAGUAUUAUCUCAUCAAAAGCAGAAACAACAACCUAUUGCCAACUACUGUAAGUACAAUGCUAACUACUACAUAAGAUGCUACUCCAUAGGUCAAAAAGUGGCACUUCCCAAAAUUAGACAGCAAAUGAGGGAAAGGGCUUGUACAUAUCCCUGUAGAAUCAUUUAUUCACAAUUUCUACUACUGAAAAAUCGGAACCUGCAUAUAUACCCUUUAUUAAGAAGGUGCAGCUUUUACAAAAAUAAGCUUAUUAGUAAGUACAAGGGUAUAUAUAUAUANCUGAUUUACCUCUCUUAGAAGACUAAUAUUGAAAAUACCAUUUUUACUCUCCAAUCUAUUUCAAAUAUACCCCUAGAGUUAAAAUCUGCUAAUGAACUCUGUUAUCUCUGUAAAAUUACUAUUUUGCCCUUUCAAAUAUACCCUUCUACCAUCACUGACUUUCUUAUUUGCCCUUAAAGUCAGGGACACAAAAACUAUUUUGACUUUUGGUCUUUUCCAAUAUAUCCCUCUACCAUCACCAACAUUUCUUAUUUGCUCUUAAGUUAAGGGCAAAAUUAGCAUUUUAAUUUUUUUUUAACUGUGGUAGAUAUUUAACUCACGUUAAAAAAAAAAAAACUUAACAAGAGAUAACUGCGGGAGUAUUUUGCAAUAACGGUGGAACACAUGAGGGAUAUUUUACAAAGAAAAAAAAUGUAUGGAUAAAUCGGAUAUUUUCAAGCGUACGAGAGGUAUAUAGGCAAUUAUCCCAUAUAUAUAUAUAUAUAUAUAUAUAUAUANUUAAGCCUCCUUUUUCCUUACUUUGUUUUUCUAAACUAUUUUCCUUGCAAAGAGUUGGGCUUUUUUUUAUCCCAACCUAUAUUUUCUCAUGGACAGCUUUAUGUGGCGGUUUCCCGCAUUACUAGAGAAGGGUUGCGCAUUUUCAUAGAUAAUAAAGACGGAGAAUCUCGAACUUUUUUAUAAAACAAUCCUAUAGAAUUUUAAAAUUUGCAAAAUAACCUUCUCAAUAUUAUAUUUGUAAAACUAACGCUACUUUCGCCACGUAGGCAUUGGAGUGGAUAUUUCUUAUGAAGGCGGUGAAUCGUUCACCGCCUUUACGCCUUCCUAAUUUUCCACAAAGGUGGUGAACGAUUCACCGCCUUUUGCUUAUUUAUUGUUUCUAUAUCCCAUAUAUAAUUCUAACAACCACAUAAAAAUUUUAACAAAUCAUAUAUAAUCUUAACAACCUAAAAAUUCUAAUAAUUUAUCCAUACAAUUUUAUAUAAUCUUAACAAUCUGAAAGGAUUGUAUGUGGAUCAAUAUAAUUUCAUAUAAUCUUGACAGUCUAAAAAUCCUAAGAAUCUAUCCAUAUAAUUUCAUAUAAUCUUAACAAUCUGAAAAUUCUAAUAAUCUAUCCAUACAAUCCUAACAAUUAAAUAAAAAUUCUAAUGAUCCACAUACAAUCCUAAUAAUCUCAUUUUUUUUCUAUUUCCUACAUAAUCCACUUUUCUAUUUCCUAUAUAAUCUACGUACAAUUUUAAUGAAUGCAGCGAACGAUUCACCGUAUUUAAAAAAAAUAGAAAAAAACGGUGAACACUGCCUUUAAAAAAAAAAAGAGAGAGAAGGCGGUGAACGAUUCACUGCCUUUAAAAGAAAUUGAAAAACGCGGAAAACGAUUCAUCGCUUUUCAAAAAAUACUCACACAUAGCUCCUACGUGGCGAAAAGAUGAUUAGUUUGCCACGUGGUGAAAAGAGAGUUAGUUUGCCAUGCGGCGAAAAAGGAUUAAUUUGCCAAAUAUAAAUUUAGCAAAAUUAUUUCACAAAUUAUAAAAUGUUAAAAGAUUAUUUUAUAAAAAAGUCCCAUAUAUGAAAAUCCUAGUUUUUCUUUUUGAGAAAAAGGUAGAAUCCUAGUUCUUUUUCUUUUUGUUUUCUAAGAGAAAGAAAAAGAUAACAUGCAAUCUGAUCCGUUCAAAUUUUUUUUUUUAAAAAAAAUGAGGUUAGCUGAAAAUGUAAAAUAGCUAAACUUCAAAUUUGAGAUCUGGACCAACCAUCAAACCCGUUACCACUUGACGCUAAGGGCGGUAGGUUGAAAUCCUACUUCUGAUUUCUGAAGUAGCACAUAUGUAAAACAGAAAAUUUGCAAGGAUAUGAAGGUAAAUAUCUCAAUUCUCAAAAGAAAUAAAAAAGAAGUCAAACAGAAAAUUAAAGGAAAAUUUAAAUUUCUGCAACCACCAAAAGCAUCACAAUCAGCAACUACAUAAUACAGGAACUAAACCGAAAAAGGAUUCAACAAGUAUAAAGGGCAGGAUCCAAUACCACACAAUGAUCCCUCUGAAACAUCCAAGUAUUUCAAACUACCUUAGAUAAAAGUAAUUGUACAAAAAAAAAAAAAAAACAAAGGACAAGAGGAGGAGAAAAAAAAGCAUGAGAGAGGAAUUAAACACACCAAAACAAAUCUGCAGAAAACUUAGUCCAUUCAACCUCUUGUUCUUGUGAUUGUAAUGCUGCCUUUUCCGCCUUCAGUGCGGAUCUUUGUUUUCACUACCACAGGUUUGCCAGAAAAGGCUGAAGUGGAGUAUGCAAUUGAAUCCUCAUCCUUUUUAUGCUUUAUUUUGGACAUGGGCUUAGCGUGAAUCCGUUCAUUUAUGUCGUGCAAAGUUAGAUCCCCGUGAGCUCCACACGGUUUAAUAAGGGCAAAAGGAUAAGCAACUGAAGUAGCAAACUUUGUAGGAGGAUCGAUGACAGACUCGCUACCUAAAACACAAGAUGAAGUGCAUAAGAUGCUACUAAUUAAGAGAACAAAUACGGCUGUUCGACACAAUUUUACUAAAGCAAUCAAUAGGAGGUAAACUAUAAGGCUGAAAGGUAGAGUUUCAUUGGAGGAUUCGUAUCACAGGGAUAGACAUAAAAACAGUCACGACAACCGUAGUUCAAUGUGUUAUCCCCAUUGGAUUUGGCUUGGGUGGUAGCAUGGAAGUAUGAGUUACCCAUGGUAUAGGUUUAGCCUUAGGAAUAACUGUGCAGCAUAAUCUAGCGUAAAAUUCUUUCUAUGUUCGAUGGGAGAGUACAGAAACUUUUACCACUGUGCCCAGCCUAUUUCCCAACCUUACUACACUAAUUAAAGCUAGACAUACCCGUAAGAAUCUUCAGUUGAGCAGGAAUAGAGCGGUCUUCGACUACAUUAGCUCCCGUUUCAGGUGAAAUAUUGUACAACUCUAAGUAAAAGAAAAGAGUACAAUAAUAUCACAUUUGGAAUUUUGUUGACUCUAGAAAAUGUCAGCGACAAUUCAAGAAGAAGGGAUUUCACUCACCAGAAACAUCAGGAUGGUCAGUAGAAGCCAUAGAAUUAUUCCUACAAGAAGGCAUAUGAUGACUUCCGUAAUGUGCUAAUAGUAACAGUAUAGGUGGUAGAAAGAGAAAAUAAAGGCAAAUUGCACCAUGGGUCCUAAAUCUUUAAGCAUAGUUUCAAUUUGGUCAUUGACCUUUCAAUGUAACAAUUUGGACCUCGACCUUUGCAAUUCGUUGCAAUCUUAUCCUUUUAUUUCAGUUCCUCCAUCAAACUGAAAUGACAAAUAGACAUAGUCGUCUUUAACAGAGACAUAACCAAAGUUCAGACUUCCAAUAUGGUGAUUUAUGUGCAUAAUUUCAUGUUGUUAUGUAAUGAAAAGAGCAACACGGCAACGGAAUACAAAAGUCACGGCCCCGAUUCAUGAAAUAUUGAAAGGCUAGGGACCCUUGGUGCAGUUUUCCCAAUAAAUAAUUCACAAAGUAAACCUAGACAUUUCUUUGGAGCCGCUAUUCUCCUUGCUUUCAUUUAAGCAAUCAACUAACCAUCCUUCUGACGAUUGAUCCAACCCAUCACAAUUUAAGGCACACUGAUCAUCUGAAUUAGGAGAAAGUUUUUUAGAAUAACUGUAGAGGUGAUAUUGAUUAGUUGGUUCAAGAUAAAUUAUAUAGGAAAGAACCUGAAAACUCGAAAUUCCAUUGUGAAUCCCAAUGAAAAUUUCCUGAAAUCCCAUCUUCCAUCAUUGAGCAUUCAGCCACCUACAAAAGUAUUUACAGAAAACAAAUGACAGGGGAAAUGAUAAAUAGGGUAAAAAAAAUGGCUACCCGGGUUUGGCUUAUAUUCCGGAACAUCUUCUCUACUCCAUAAGCAAUGGCCAAGUAUUUGGCGAACAAGAAGUUCGACGAGUUUGGAGCUUUUGCUAUGCCAUGAAGCUGCAAUUAGCUUAACCCUAAAAUAGAAGCUCUAAUUUGAAGUUUUACUUCUGCUACAGUGAGAAGUUACUAGGACUUGGGAAGAUUUUAAUGAAAAAUAUGUUAGUGCUUCUUCAAAAUUGUACUCAAAACAACAAUUCGUCAAAAGCACCAAAUAGGCCAAACUGGCAUUAAAGAGAUAAGAUGCUCUCUUUCCAAGUAGCCACUAUUAGAAUGAGAUGAGAGUUUUCGCCAACUACAAUAACCUCAUUGCCUUCAGAAGUAAAUUGCAGCAUGCGUCUUCUUUUGAUUUGCGAAGAAUCCAAACAUUCCUCCAACCCUUUGUCGCUGUAAUCUGAGUUCAACUCUCUCAUAUUAUAGUCUUCAGUAGAAAAUCUUGGUUACUACUGACCUAAUAUGCAUUAGUGAAAACAAUAUACCUCCUAUAUCAGAAACUUGGCAACUUAAUUCCGUGCAAUCCUUUAUUGGAGUUUGUUCAUCAAGCAUGUACAAAAAGCCGUUUUGAUUCACAUCACCCCACAAGCAGUGAGAAACAUCUGCGGAAAGAUAGAUUAUAAGAAGCAAUUCGAAUCUUCAUCAGAGAAUUCCCAAAGAUUGAUUACAAUAUCCACAUACCAUUCAGUGAUACUCUCUGCAAAUCAUACUCUUCUCCUCGCCAUUCCCACAUCUCACUGUUGCACAUUCGACAUGUACCGUAAAAAUGAACCCGGGUAAAGUUAGAGAAACGACACAAACACACGAAAAACAUUCUUAUAAACAUACUUAAUGAUUGGUUUUCUCUUCUUAAGAAACUAGAACACAAGGCAACAAAAUAAGGGAAUAUGCUCAAAUUUGAACAAGAAACGAGUUGCGUUUUAACUCUGGAUGGAAACUACUAAGUUUACUUUCACUGGAUAAUCAAUGUAACAGUUGGUAGCAGAGGAAGCAGCAAAUUCCAAAGGGGCCUAUCAACAAACAGGUUAAUAACAGCGAUUUAGUGCUCACAACAUUGAAUUGAAGUAGCAAAACCCUAAUUAUAUAAAUACAAAGAUCAAUUAGGCAAACUACAGAGUUCACAAACACUGAAGCUGCUUCAUAUUGCAAAACCCUAACUUUUUUUUUUUUAAACUGCUUGAUCCAGGGGAGAAAAGUUGAAAAGAGGAAAACUCAACUCACCGCAUGCAUCAAAAGUCAAGAUCCCAUCAUUGAAACUUUCUUAAAAAUAGUAAAAGUGAAAUUGUGCAUUUGAUGUCCCAACGAGACCCAAACAAAACAAAACAAAAAAAAGCGACUUUUUAUUACCAAAAAUGCAAAAUUUCUCUCUUUUUUUUUCAAAGCAUCCAAAAUCGAAAAGAAUUUGACAAAUCCACUCCACACCCACUUUGAAUCCCAUUCCCAUCCUUCAUUUACACUUCAAAGGACUAAGACCCACACGAACAAAAUCCAAACUGAGUACAAUAUAUAUGUAAAAAAGGACAAAAAAAAAUAGAAAAAAAAAAACAGAAAGAAACCCACUUGUGAUUGCCACCAUUAUCAUCAAACUCCAUGGUCUUCUUCCUCCUCCUCUUCUGAAUCCAGCAGAGAUUCCCGUGAAAAGAAAAAAUCCAAAAAAGAAAAAGAAAAAGAAAAAGAGAGAGAGAGAGAGAGAGAGAGAGAGGAGAGAGAAGUUUCAACCAAGUCCCUUUCUCUCUCACACUCUCACACUGGGACAGCUGCCACAGAGGUAAUUAUAGCAUAUGAUAAUUUAAUUACAACUAAAUCUUAUAAUAAUAUUUUUUUAAAAAAUAAAUAUAAAAAUAAACUAUAAAUAAUAAUUAAGCACUUAAUUCGAGGGGUGAAAUAAAAAAGGCAACAUAGGAGGAUCAAUGGCGUUACUUGUAAUCAAAUUCCUAAAUAAUAUUUUAAUAUAAUUAGCACUUUUAUUAUUUGUGCGUUACUAUGAAUGCAGAUCAAAUGUACUAAAAUGGAGACAUUUUUCUUUUUCAAAUAUUUCACACUUUAUAUUCAAUUAUUAUAUAUUUCAUUAAUAAGGUUAAAAAAUUCUAAAUUAUCAUUCGAAUUAUUUUACUCUAUAUACGGAGAAAUUAACACUGUAUAAAGUGUAUAAUAAAAUAAUAAUAACAAUUAAAGCAAAAAUAAAAAAAGUAAUUGAGACAUGAAGUACGGGGCGAUUUUGGUAAUUUAGCCUAAUAAUUUUAUGCGGACAUUGGUACGCGCCAGUAUGGACGUGGGCGGACGAGAUGAACUUUAGCGAAAAGGUGAACGGUGGAUCCUACGGUCGCAUGUGACAUUAUAUGCGCAACGUACGUACGAAGCAUCAUCAGUUAAAGGUGAUGGUUUUUGGGCAGGUAAAAGAACCGAGAUACACUUUAUGAACGUGGACCGCUUCUUAACGGUCCUCGCCACGUGGCCACGUGACAUGUCUUGUAUUGUACAUCACUCUUCACAAAUUGCAACAAUACAACAUUUUUUUAUUACUAAAUUAUAUUCUUAUUAAUCUUUCAAAUUUAAUAUGUGACUCGUGAUGUUUUAGUGCUUAAUUUUAAUUUAUUAUAUUUUUUUAUCAAAAAUAUUAAAAUGAAUAUUCGAUAAAUUUAGGUAAGAUAUCUAAAAAUUUUUGUAUAUAAUUUAAUAAAAUAUUAAAUCACAUGGUACUAAAGUGAGAAAGUACGAAACUAUAGGGUACUAACUUGAUACACUUUAAACUAUAUGGUACUAAAGUAAGAAAGUGCGAAACCACAGGAUGGAUAUUUGAAGUUUUCCUUUAAAUUUAAUAUGUUCGUUGUCUAUAAUUCAAAUUCCAAAGUAAAGUUAAAUUCAAAAGACUUUAAAGAGAUUUGCGCGGGUUUGCGAAUAUACCUACUAUAUUUAAAAAGUUUAUGCAUAAAAAUUCAUUAAUUUUUUUAAUUUAUUAUAUAGGCAUUCUAAACAGAUUUAUAAUA